AAUGCACCAAUUUGUAAGUCGCUCUGGAUAAGAGCGUCUGCUAAAUGACGCAAA
This is a non-coding RNA of Salmo salar (Atlantic salmon), 54 nucleotides long. The record is from Rfam. NCBI's taxonomy places the organism in Eukaryota, Metazoa, Chordata, Actinopteri, Salmoniformes, Salmonidae.